CUGCAUUUACUACAUUUUAGGUAAACUAGUUAUCAAAUAUUAUGAGGUAAGCAACUCUUGCGAGGCUGUUAUAGCUUCAAAUUGAAAACUAAUUGUCGAUUUCUCUUAUAUAGUCUUGAGGACCAAAAGGUGGGGCAGGCCUGUGCCGUGCAGACCUAAAACAACGGCAGGUAAAUCUUAUUCUUUCAUAAUAAUGGAAUAGCAAAGAAUUGCCAAUAACAAAAUAAUUGGAAGGAAAACUCGCUUAAAUUUCUCUUCUAAUUUCUUUUCUAAAACAACAUUGACCCUUAGUCUAUGAUCACGAGAUCAAAUCCAUUGACAAGACCUUAAUCUAUUAGCCAAUUCAACAAAAUGCUUUGCUUGCUAACUUAUUUAGGCCAGGGAUGCUGAUCAAUUGUAUCCUUUAUGAAAGCCUAUUAUAGACAAUUAUAUAUAUUAUAUUCAAUCACGUAAUAUUUUAACAUAAUUUGAUUAAGUAUGUAGGAUCAUGAAACCCGAGAAUACCACUCGUAUGAUAUUUAAGCAUAGAAUGAAACAAAGGUUACCCAGCAUUUAAAUUGUAUUUGAAUAAAUACAUGUACGCAUAUGGAAAAUCUUUAACAAUCGUGUCCAGCCCACAACGGGAGGUAGUAUCGGAAGGAGAUGCGGAGGUAAGUAGAGGGAUUUUGACCAACCUCGUUCCCUUUCCCAUAUCAGAGCUUCUGAACUGCGCAAAGGCCCUGGGUACGAGGUUUUGAUUAUCUAUUUUGGACAGCUCUAUAUCAGUUCUAAACUGGGUCUGGUUGUUCAACAAAUUUUGUCUGGAUCGAUGAAAGUUUUAUUUUCUAAAGAUAUAAAACAAGCCAACCUAUAGAAAUGCACAAACCCGAAACAGCGGAAUAAAUGUUGAUCCAGAAUUAGGGCUAAUUGUACUUUGAACGGCCAGCCCCUGUUCUCUCUAAAGUCGAGUAAAGCCAUCUCAUACUUGCGCAGUGUUAUUACAGGAGAAAAAAAGGGUAACUGCAGUCUCCAACAUAGGCACUCGGGCCUGAUGUUUUCCUGGGGAGAAUUGAAAGUUUGUCCAAUUUUUUUUUUUUGGGGGGGGGGGCAAUUCCCCCCUGUCUUGCAAGCCUAUGAUCCCCAAAUAUAGGGUAACAUGGUAUUAAAUGUGCUUAUAGAGUCCAGAUGAGAUUCAUGAACGGUUUAUUUCAAUGAAGAAGUGGGACUAACAGGAAGUGGUGGAGCCCGCAGAAGACAAGCAGAAUGAUUACGAAUGAUUUAGCAUAAUUAAACAUAAAUGAUUACAUAAAUAAUUUGCAACAUUUUAUGAGAUAAGCCAAUUGAAUUACAGAAAUGGGUUAAAGGUUUGGUAUCACACAACAGAGAUCAAAAUUUUCAAGUAAAGUUUUGUCGUUUUCUUAAAAAAUAAUAAGUACCAGAAUUUGGUAAGAAUACGACCAUAAGGACAAGUCUCAUUGAACGUUUUUCUCAACUGGACAAACUAAAUUUGAUUGCCUUGUCUCUUGAAAUGUGUUUGGCUAUAAAAAUUAAAUUAAAUUAUAAACAAUUUUUAAUAUUGUAGACAUAAAUUUUGACAGAUUCAACAUUUUAAUGACAGUGUUCUUAGUGAUUAUGAUGGCAAUUUGGUUAAAGUUUUGUACAGCCAUUUGUCGGAGCAUUUGUUCACAUGAAAGUAUUUGAAUUAAAAUGUAUUUUAUUUUCAUUAACUCUUUCCAUUUUGAAAAAAAGUGGGUGUCCACGACUCCACAGUG
Paramuricea clavata is the source of this 1751-nucleotide non-coding RNA. The record is from the annotation of a GenBank genome assembly. NCBI's taxonomy places the organism in Eukaryota, Metazoa, Cnidaria, Anthozoa, Malacalcyonacea, Plexauridae.